RNAcentral lists this ribosomal RNA (251 nucleotides) under uncultured prokaryote. Its description in RNAcentral is "partial 16S rRNA". It matches the Rfam family "Bacterial small subunit ribosomal RNA", at positions 525 to 775 of the family's 1533-position model. The record is from RNAcentral.
ACGGAGGGUGCAAGCGUUGUUCGGAAUUAUUGGGCGUAAAGGGCGCGUAGGAGGUUGUGUUAGUCAGAUGUGAAAUAAUUCAGCUUAACUGAAGAACUGCAUUUGAUACUGCAUGACUAGAGUACAGGAGAGGGAAAUGGAAUUCCCGGUGGAGAGGUGAAAUGCGUAGAUAUCGGGAGGAACACCAGUGGCGAAGGCGAUUUCCUGGCCUGAUUCUGACCCUGAGGCGCUAAAGCGUGGGGAGCAAACAG